CCCCCAAGCAAACCCCCCCCCCCCUUUCCGUUCCACUGUUCAUGACCCCUGACCAGCCCCUUCCUGUCUUCUUCCCAUCGCCCUCGCAACGACCACCCCACAGCCCUUCUCACUUCUAUCAACCGGAGUCGAACCAGCUGUAGCACGUCAUCUCCGUCCACGACCACCAUCUCUUUCGUUGUUUCACCUGUCCAAACAACCCUCAGCUUCAUCGUCUUCUUCAUCACCAAGCAACCAGUCCACUACCAAUGUUGUCUUCAUCUUCUUCUUGGUUCCAGCAGCUUCGUCAUCCCAAACAGCUACUGUCUUGUCGACCACUGUCACGCCAAUGACCCCAGCCAUCAUUGCACCAACGUUGGUGCACGUGCCCGAAACAAGCGUCAUAGUAAAAUCACACACGGUCAUAAGCAGAAAGUCGAACAACUGGGUUUAGCGAGCUGCCUCAUCGUAUUUCAGUUUUGGAACCCUUGAGAUCGAUGGAGGUAUUACUUUUCGAGUUUUGUCUGCUGGGGUUGGGUUCAUUGAGGUCAUGAUCAAUGACUCUUCUGUUUUGAGCCAUUUAUUCUUGAGAUCUUUUUGCUUCAUUUUGGUUUUAUCGGAAAGUUUCUUCAGGUCUGUCCUUCAUCUUCUUCGUUUUGCUAAUAUGAUUUUAAUGGCUCUGUAAAGAUUCAGAGUUUAUGGCUUGUGUUUCACUUUGUGUUCAUUAUCCUACCAUGCUUUAACUUUAUUUUUUUUGUCUCUUAUUAAGUUAUUGAAUCCUUUAUCUUGGUUGUAAUGUUAUUGGAUUUACUUUGAAGUUCAAUUGAAUUUUGAGUUUAGUGAUUUGAAUCUGUUUGUUUAUUCUAUUAAGUUUGAUUUGAAUAUGAUUUUAGUGAUUUGAAUCUACUUAUUUGUUAUGUUCAGUUUGUUACUGUUGUUGAAUCUGAAAGUACGUUUUUUAAAAUAUUGUUCAGUCAAAAUAAUUUUAGCUGGUUCUUUGUUGUUCAUCAUCUGGUUUGGUUCCUUGAAUCCUUAGUCUUUGUUUUAAUGAUAUUUGAUAUAAAUGAGUUUCUAGCUUGAAUUUAUGGAUUGAAUUUGAUUAAGAUUGGUUAUAGCUGCUACAAUUUGGUUAAUUGAUUAGGUAUUUUGGAUAUAGCAAAUGUGGUAGGAUAGUAAUUUCGUAAUAUGGGAGUUAGGAAAAUUUCAAAAUGGUUUAAACUUAGUGGCAAUUAAAAUAAUGAAUUGUUUAAUACAUAGUGGGGGACAAGACAUAUGAUAGUGGGAACUAAUACAUUUGUUUAAUAUAUGGAAAUAAGAUAUAAUGAUGUAAAGGAAAAAGGGAUUUGAAAAGUAAAAGGAGUGGAAUAAUAAUGAAAAAGUUAAAAGUGUUCACAUAAUAGAAGAAUAUAAAGCUGGAAAGUAAAAAGGAGUAGGGGUUAUGAUAAAAGAUUUUCUUUGACAACUGUAAAAAAAAAAAAAGGAGGGCUAAAAGGAAAAAGGGUUUUGGGUUUGAAUAUAGAGAUUACGAGUCAUUAGGAAAAAGGAGAAUAAGAGUUAAGAGUCAAGAAAAACACAGAGACAGAGAAAGAAAGAUUUUAAGGAUCAGUUCUUCUUGAAAGUUUUAAAAACUGAAUUCUUCCAUACUUUGAAACCUUAAGAAUUAGAGAGCUGAAAACCCCACUGUUUAUUUGAAGCUUCUCUUUUUGAUUAAUUGAUUUCAUUUCUCUUGAUUCAAAUACACUAUUUUAAGUAACUCUAGUGUAUCUUUGAGUUCAUUUGGCUUGCGUUGAUAUUGUUGUGGGUUAAGGUCCAUUUCUGUUGGUAUUUUCUGGUUUGAUUUUUACUGGUUUCUGAUCUGUUCCUGGGCUGUUGCUGGUUGCUAUUUGGUGUUGCUAUUGUUGUAUGCUACUACUAGUCUGUUGAUCACUCCUCCUUUUUUUUUGCUUCUAAUAUCAGGUACACAACUAGUACGCAUUAUUGUAAGCCGUAGCAUAGAAGCAUGAUAUAUAAAUUAUAUAGAGUUGAAGUUGUAAACUUAACAUAGUUUCUUUCAUUUUACUGCUUAUAGUUAAGAGCAUGAUGUAUAAUUUGUCGUAUAAACUUCUACCAUUAUUUUUGUGUAAGUGGACAGUUCUGUGAAAUGUAGUCCAACAAUAUUUAAUCUUAGUUUUAUUAUUAAGUAGUAAUAUGUUCAAAUGCGUGUCUGGCCCGUUAGACUGUUCUUAAAUGCCAAACAAGUGAAGAUGCCUCAUUUAAAUAGUUGCCUAUUUUAAAACUUGUAGUAAUAUUGCUUAAUUAGAUAGCAUUACUUUACAUUUCUGCCUCAUAAAGUUCUGAAUAUGUAUAGGAUAAUUUAGUUAGGCCUAAC
This 2347-nucleotide long non-coding RNA is filed under the name Nicotiana benthamiana. RNAcentral's name for it is "long non-coding RNA (NBEN_LNC029185)". The record is from RNAcentral. Lineage: Eukaryota; Viridiplantae; Streptophyta; Magnoliopsida; Solanales; Solanaceae.